RNAcentral lists this unclassified non-coding RNA (140 nucleotides) under Clostridioides difficile T23. Lineage: Bacteria; Bacillati; Bacillota; Clostridia; Peptostreptococcales; Peptostreptococcaceae. The record is from RNAcentral.
GUAAUUUAUUUUAAUUAAUAAUGCAUACAUCUUACUAAUAAUCUAUUUAUAUAAUAAUCUAUUUAUAUAAUAAUCUAUAAAUAUUAUAUAAUAAUACUUAUAUAAUUAGUAUUAUUAUUUAAUAGCAACAGUUAUUCACA